This 506-nucleotide ribosomal RNA is filed under the name uncultured bacterium. RNAcentral describes it as "partial 16S ribosomal RNA". It matches the Rfam family "Bacterial small subunit ribosomal RNA", at positions 28 to 523 of the family's 1533-position model. The record is from RNAcentral.
GAUGAACGCUAGCUACAGGCUUAACACAUGCAAGUCGAGGGGUAACGAGAGGGAAGCUUGCUUUCCUUGUCGACGACCGGCGCACGGGUGAGUAACGCGUAUCCAACCUGCCCCCAACUAGGGAAUAACCUUGCGAAAGUAAGACUAAUACCCUAUAAUUUCCUCAGAUGUCAUCUGACGAGGAAUAAAGAUUUAUCGGUUGUGGAUGGGGAUGCGUCUGAUUAGCUUGUUGGCGGGGUAACGGCCCACCAAGGCAACGAGCAGUAGGGGUUCUGAGAGGAAGGUCCCCCACAUUGGAACUGAGACACGGUCCAAACUCCUACGGGAGGCAGCAGUGAGGAAUAUUAGUCAAUGUGCGGAAGCCUGAACCAGCCAAGUAGCGUGCAGGAUGACGGCCCUAUGGGUUGUAAACUGCUUUUAUACAGGAAUAAAGUUAGCCACGUGUGGUUAUUUGUAGGUACUGUAUGAAUAAGGACCGGCUAAUUCCGUGCCAGCCGCCGCGGUAA